CAUACCUGUAAACAUUCCAGAUAACGCGUUAUUUAUUUAGAUAUUUAUUGGCAACCAUUUUAAUCGUGAAAUAUCAAGAAAAGCAUGUAUGUACCACGCACCAACAAUUCGGACAAGCUACAUCAUGUAUGUACAUGGAAGGGGUCUAUGCUAAUAUGUUUUAUAUUAUAAAAUAUAAAUUUCUUUAACUAGGCCUUUUUAUUAAAGUACUUUGAUCUGUUAAUAUUAUCAAGAAGAACAUAUACUUGAAACCCGAUAAAUAUUACGUACUACGUGAAAACUCAUAAAAGAAAUAAACCAAGGAGGAAGGGAUAGUAAGCCUUCCAAGUCUAAAGUGCACUGAUGUGAUCUUUGUUCAGGUGUACACAGUAGGCGAUAAAAAAGAUAAUAAAAAAUAACAAUUUCAUAAAAUAACAUUUUUCUUUAAUAUAAGAAUGUUACAAGUAUAGGUAAUGUUUGUGUACUGUAUAACGAUAGCAAGUGUCGAAGAAAAGUUGAUAAAGUGAACUAUGAAUAUAGAACGAAAUAAAAGUAGUCUGAGGUUUAAUAUUCAAUCUACAAUUCGUCAAGGAUAUAAGUUUUAUAAACGUUACAGCUUUUAUAAUAUGAUAAUGCAAAAUAUAGUACGGUAAUUCCGUCAACAACGCAAAAUGAACUCAUUAGGAUCGUUUAGAAUUUCAAAGAGGAAGAGAUAAGAGAUAAUACUUCAUCCCUGGAAACUUUUUUCUUUUCUCCUCGAACUGACGCGAGCAAAAAUGAAAUUGAAAAAAGAUAGAUAUAUGCUGAUACUGACUGAUAUUAAUUGCAAAAUGAAAUAAAAUUUUGAUCCGAUUCUUGUCUCGCUGUACUUAGGUCGCUAUAGGUAAAAAAUUUUUGCGGAUACUUCUCAUCGAAUAUUUCAAGUUCAGCAAAUGAAUCUACAAGGCGAUAUACAUAUAGGCGAACCAAAGAAAAAGUGAAAAUAUCACGAAAUCAAGUUCAAUUUCGAACUAACGUAAAUUUCCUACGAUAACUGAAAUUUCCGAUAUUCACGCUUCAGGAUUUGACAUAAUCUAUUUCAUAGUGCCGGCAACUGCGCAGCAGUUUCGUGGGUAAAUUACUUUUUUCAACGGAUUCAGCGGAUAAGUAUAUUCAUUUCGAAGAAUGGCUACGGUAUAACUUUUUUAUUUUGCUCGAUUGCAAUUUCGAGUCGGUAGACUUAAAGACACUGCGUUUUGUUUUCACCUUAUAAAGAACGGAGAUAUUGAAUUUCGGCGAAAUUAAAGAAAACAAACAGCUAAAGUUGUUUCUGGCACACCCUGUGUACAGAAAAGCUCGAGAGUAGCAGAAACGGACUUACUAGGUGAGGUAGGGCUACUGAAUUGGAGUGGGGAGUCGAGCGUCUUGAUAGGCCGAUUGGGAGAAGAAUAUUACGCGCAAGCGCAAAGACUUCAACGGUUUCGGAGUAUCUCGGGGAGUUGUUCGUCUAAUCUCGCGUGAGUCGCACGUAUUUCCUUGUGCGUUCUUUCGAAGGAAGCUUUUGUUUUUUUUUCUUGGACCAUAAACGCAGCUUCUAAUACUUAUAUCAACGGAAAAUGCAUAUCACAAUAAUCCGUUGUUUGUUCUUCACGCUCACAGGCGCCAGUAAUAACGCGAGAGAGAAAAUGCGCGAGAAUCGAACGACACAUCAUCGACGCUAAAUAUCAAACGUAACCAUUAUGGGUGUAAUUCUAUCGACGGACGAAGUGGACAAAAAGAAACAAAACGAAUCGAGUGAAAAGCGACAGACAGAUCAAUUCGCAAUAUCAUUAUCGGGCGUUAUUCUGCAUGACAUUUUACAAAAGAGAAGCAAUCGUGGUCUGUGCAUCGUGCCUCUGAGACUUCCAUCCCACCCAGUUCUUGUUCGACCUCCCCUCUUCUUUUCCUCUCCAACACAUUCUCAUGCGAGAAACGGAUGCGCGCGCAUGUACACGAAUACAAUCGCGCUGAAGUAGCACUGUGAAGUCUCUUUGGUGCGCACACAUACCACGGCAAACGUCCUUUUCUUUGACACACAUGAGUGAAAGCGGGUGAGAGGGGAGUGACGAGAGAAGAAGAAAUAAGAUAGAAGGCCAGAGGAGAAGGAGGAAGAGGAGGAGAAAGGGGGGAAGGGUGGAGAAGCAAGUGCCACGGUGGCUGGCUGGCUAGCGAGCCGCAAACCGUAUCCAUAUUCUCCUCUAGAAUCCCCGCUCGCGUUGUGCUUGUCGAGGAAUUUUACUUCGGCAGACUCGCUCCCAGACUCGAUUCCUUCGUUUCUUCUUUCCGUAGCCGCCAAAGUACAGCGAGAGUUCUAUGUGAAAACAUUAGCAUGACUUUCCAUAAAUUUCAAGUCUCUAGGUCAGAAUCAUAUUUUCUAUCCAUAUCGAUGUGUGGUACACGACUCUGUAAAACACCGAUAAAUCCGCUCGUAUCUGACUCGUUUAACAAUAUUCGAACAAGUCUACGAAUGGAAUAUAGACGUUCACCGUGCCCAGGGAGAAAAAUAGUGAUAAUUCCGUAGAAUGCCUGGAGUGUGUGACGUUCAUCGGUUUACAAAGUUCCCAAUCUUUCAGUGAUCCGCUUCUAGGAUUUCAUUAUAUCGCUAUUGGUUAUCCAAUAAGAACGAUGAUACACAAUUUUUGGGGGGGCCUGAAACAACAGUGAAUUUCUCGGCAUCGACGAUUUCCUCGGUCGAGGGAAAUAUCGUUAUUUGUGUUACGUUGCAUCCCAUGUACGAUCGGAAAAAAGUUCUCUUCUGAGAAACCGAAUCUCAAGACUCCCUCAUGGCAUCUACUCGGAUGAUCGUUUGUCCUUCUAUGUUUGAAAUGAGAGAUGUACAGGAAAUCAAUACAUCGGCCCACGGUUAAGAGAUCCUAGGUGUGUGUGUGUGUGUGUGCACGCAUGGGCAAGAGAAAGAGAGAAAAGAAAAAGGUAAAAUUCCGAUUCUACGAAUCGAUUAAUCUUGAAAAUCCUAUAGUAAAAUUUAUGGAUCAAAUAUUCAUCACUAAAAACAAGGUGUGAACGUUCCAUGUUCCGAUUGUUAACAAAUAAUAUACUUAUUUUAAGUAUAACACCUAUUUCAUUGAUAAACAAUAAGUGUUUUCAUGCGUAUCCAGCAAGUUAACAAAGAACAUGCGUUGUAGAAGAAAAGCAGGUCUACGGGUUGGAAUUCUUUAUAUUUCGCCAGAUCUCGGAAUUCCAAGCGCCGUGAGUGUGUCGAUCUAACAAUACACGGAGGUUCUACGAUUCCGUGAAGAAUGGCAAGAAUAAAAAGGAAUACAAUGCAGAACGGCCACUACAGGAUAACAACAAAGAAAAGAAGGCUUUUGUUCCUCAACUUUUUCCCGUUCCCCUCUUACCCCACCGUGAUUCUGCCUUGGGUCUAACACCGAAUCGAAUAAAAAAUAUUGCCUACUACUACGAGCAAGUUAGUACAGUCAGAAAUAUUUCUAAGGCAUUGAAAUCUCCUAAUCGUUACAAAAUAAAUGAAAAUUGUUCAAAUUAUUGCUUAGCUAUUUCGAAUUUAUUCUAUCGCAAUUCUAAUUCUAAUAACGCUAGUUCCAUAUCAAAUGUACGAAUAGUUACAAUGCCAGAAUAAAUGAAACAACGUGGUUGAACAUUGUGCAUAA
This is a long non-coding RNA of Bombus huntii, 3626 nucleotides long. RefSeq lists it as uncharacterized. The record is from RefSeq and is a predicted model, not a curated record. The transcript is spliced from 2 exons. Lineage: Eukaryota; Metazoa; Arthropoda; Insecta; Hymenoptera; Apidae.